RNA transcript from Oncorhynchus kisutch (coho salmon), 4062 nucleotides. It is a transcript of the gene named 5'-AMP-activated protein kinase subunit gamma-2, with no coding region annotated. The transcript is spliced from 14 exons. The record is from RefSeq and is a predicted model, not a curated record. Lineage: Eukaryota; Metazoa; Chordata; Actinopteri; Salmoniformes; Salmonidae.
UAGACGCCACCCACAGCUGCACCUGACGCCACUACUAGAGCUCUGCAGAGAGAGGAGCAAAAUAGAGCAGAGCGAGAGACAGUCCAACCAAAACGGAGCGGAAAGAGAGGAGGAGCAGAGUGAAAUUCAGCAGAGCGAGAGGAAGAGGACCUGUGCUAUGCUGUGCAUCAUCACUUGGCAGUGUUGGACCUAGUCUCACACAGAAUUUCCACACGUCCUAUCUUUCUUUCCCUGCUUGUGAGCUGCCACAGACACCAAUACCCUGAGAGCUUUCUGGACUCACUGAGACAUUUUAAUGAAUGAGCUUACAGAAAUAAGAAAAUAUCAGAAGAGAUCCUUAACUUUCCAAGAAAUGCAAGUAUGAAGACCAACCAUGUCUAAAUGACAGAUGGCACAUCAAUGGGAAGGAGAAGAGGCUUCUCUUAACCAGAAGAACAGAUCUACUCGGGAGAACAAAGAAGACCUUCAUCUAAGAUAGCCCAUUGACUGAAGAGGGCCCUCUAAUCCAAAGAACAUCCUGCUAGGAAAGGUUCAGCUCUUUCCAGAAGACCAACACAAGGGCAUCCAGAGCUGGAAGAGUAGCCUUGCUCAUGAGACUUUCAAUAAGCUGGUAGGGAAAGACCCUUCUCCGGAUAUAUCUUUAAUUAAAUUUUGGCACAGAUCUUGUAAUCUUUAACACAUUAGUUUAUUCUAUUUAUUAACAUGGAUCAGACGGAGUAGCUAUUUCGUCACACUUUUGGGUAGAGGUGUUCUACAGUUGUGACUCGUCCUGGAUGGUCAUGGUUCAUAUUGGGUGUUGAAACCAUCGCUUUAACCCGCUGGUGUCCAUGAAGAGGUUCGGCAGCCUGAGGAGGAGUAAGAAGCGGAAGGAGCAGGACCUGCUAGCGGCAGGAAGACGCCAGUCAGAGCCACCAUGUCUGCCUGUCUCCGGCCUCUCGUCUUCCCCCAGCACCCCCAGCCUGCACAUGCUGUUCCCUAAGGAGGUUCACCAGAGUGCCCCAGAGCGCCUGGAACGCUCCCUCUCAUCACCCCCACCAGACACCGGACAGCGCCUCAGCCUGCCGUCCUCUGCCAAGCCCCCCAUGUCCUCCUCCUCUCCGAUACCCUACGCUUUCCCACUGCCCCAAGCUACCUCACAGCCAAAUUUCUACGGUUUAUUCGAAGGCAUGCUGGAGAAACUUGACCUAAACGAUGAUGGUGUUGCUGCUGAACCAGACAGAGAUAUUUACAUGCGCUUUAUGAAGUCCCACUGCUGCUAUGACAUCGUUCCCACCAGCUCCAAGCUGGUCGUGUUCGACACGGGCCUACAGGUGAAGAAGGCGUUCUUUGCCUUAGUGGCCAAUGGGGUGCGUGCUGCCCCACUAUGGGAUUCAGAGAGGCAGUGUUUUGUGGGAAUGUUGACAAUCACAGACUUCAUCAUCAUACUACACAGAUACUACAAGUCACCGUUGGUGCAAAUAUAUGAGUUGGAAGAUCAUAAGCUUGAGACAUGGAGAGAAGUAUAUUUGCAAGAGACAUUCAAGCCUUUAGUGAACAUAUCACCCGAAUCAAGCAUAUUUGAUGCAGUCUAUUCCCUCAUUAAAAACAAGAUCCACCGGCUGCCUGUCAUCGACCCUGUGACGGGGAACCCACUUUACAUCCUCACACACAAGAGGAUCCUCAAGUUCCUACAGCUCUUUGUGCGUGAGAUGCCCAAGCCGGCUUUUAUGAAGCAGACUCUCGGAGAGCUGGGCAUCGGCACCUACAAGAACAUAGCCUUCAUCCACCCUGACACACCCAUCAUCAAGGCCCUGCAGAUCUUCGUAGAGAGGAGGGUGUCUGCCCUGCCUGUUGUGGACGUAUCUGGGAAAGUGGUGGAUAUUUACUCCAAAUUUGAUGUCAUAAACCUGGCAGCAGAGAAGACUUACAAUAACCUGGACAUCACAGUGACCCAGGCUCUGAGGCAUCGCUGCCAGUACUUUGAGGGGGUCAUGCAAUGCCACAAGCUGGACACACUGGAGACCAUUGUGGACAAGAUUGUCAAAGCAGAGGUCCACCGGCUGGUAGUGGUGGAUGAUCGCUCGGCCAUCGAGGGCAUCAUCUCCCUGUCUGACAUUCUGCAGGCCCUGGUGCUCAGCCCAGCAGGUAUAGAUGCUCAGCAUUCCUAACCCCCUCCUAAUACGACUCUUGGACCCUGAGCUCCCUCCCCGCCUUGCCCUGUCCUGCCCUGCCUCGCCCUCCUCACACAGAUGCCUGCAGAGAGGAGGGCCUCCUGGAGUGAGACGGGGGGGCUACUGCUGCUGGAAUCACAGAGGCUGUCCUACAAUAUAUAACUUGUAUUUUACAGGUAGCUGCCAAGAUAAAGGAAACACUUGAGUACGUUAGGGAUACAAAGUCUAUUGAAAGCAGGUGCUUCUAAACAGGUGUGGUUCCUGAGUUAAUUAAGCAGUUGACAUCCCAUCAUGCUUAGGGUCAUGUAUAAAAAUGCACAGUUGCCCGUUAUUUUCUUACCGUGGCUAAAAUAAGAGAUCUCAGUGACUUUGAGAGAGUGGUCUCAAAGGAGCAUAGGGGGUUUAAAGUGUGUGUGUGUCUCCAGUGACCAGAUGUCAACCCAAUUGAACACUUAUGGGAGAUUCUGGAGUGGCGCCUGAGACAGUGCUUUCCACAACCAUUAACAAAACACCAAAUGAUGGAAUUUCUCUUGGAAAAAUCCCUUCUAUAUAAUUCCAGACACUUGAAGUGUGCAUUGAAGCUAUUCUGGCGGCUCGUGUUGGCCCAAUGCCCUAUUAAUAUAUUGGUGUUUCCUUUAUUUGGACAGUUACCUUUACGUCCAGAGCCCUUCAUAUUGAUGCACUAGACUUUGAAACCAAAGGGCUGGGCUGGAUUGGACUGCUACUGGGGGGUAAAUGGCUUUAAUACUGGAGGACCAGCAUCUCUCUGUCUGAAUGGAACUGGACUUGAUUCACUGUGGGGAUGAGACAGUCUGAACUGUGGUUAUGUAUGUAUAUGAGGGCUAUAUACGUUUUGGUGUUUGUCUCAGUAUCAUGCUGCUCUGUCGUGUUAACAGUGCCUAGUCACUGGAUAGUUUCAAACCUUCAAUGAACAAGUAGAUUGACAGAUAUUGCCAAGGCAUCUUACUUGAUGAUACACACAAGCAUGUGUCUAAGUUCCCCACGGGAAAUAAUAACCUGUUUGUAUCGGUGGAGCUGGAAUGUACUGGACCACUAAAAGUGAUGGUUGAGUAAAUAACGUCAGUCUAUGUUCUAUGCUGUCAAACACAGACCAUUUAGACAAUAUAAUUGCAUUCUUCAUUUUAGUAUCAAAUGUGGCCAUAUUAUAGCAUGUUCUAUGAUAAGCCACAUGUUGCUAUAAUGAGUUGUUGUCCACACCCCUUUUAGGGGCUAUAUGCAGUCUCUCUGUCCAAUCCUUAGUCACAGUGCCUUUUGCUUGCCCUGCCCCUGACCAUGGAAGCAAACGCCAUUCUCUAACCAUAAUACAUCAAAACGAAGUGUUCUUGAAGAAUAAGCAAGAUCUUGUCAAAAAUGUGUUCUCAUUUAACCUGAAGGAGAAAUUGUAGGUGUUCAUGCUUUAUCUGGUUAUGAUUGGAGGAGUUUUGUUUGUAUAUGAGUAACAUGCUGUGAAGAGAGACAGAACAGGAAAAAGGCUUUAUUUUUGGGAUAUAUAUAUAUAUAUUUUGUAUUCAUUCUCGAUGACACUUGGGUUGAGAUUUAGAGCCAUUUAUUUUGUCCGCUUUAUGUACUUGAGCCAUGGAUCACUUCCAUCUCUAACAUCUAUAAAGCAAAAUGGUGGAUUCUGAACGGCUCUUGACCAGACUCCUGUGCUGUGGCCAGAGAAUACACCUCUGACAACUGAUCUCUAUUGUUUCACUGUAAAUAGGAACGUUUUCAGGAAAUGUGCCAGAGAAAGCUUUAUUUUUAUGUAACUUUAAAGAAAUCAUGUUAAAAUAACUGCAGUUUUAAUAUUAUUUUUGUAAAUAUAUUGUGGCAAAAUGAGCCAAUAUAAAUAAACCUACUUUGUAUUCAGAACAAGAUGUCCAUGUGCAAAGCAUGACACACGACACUA